This 449-nucleotide ribosomal RNA is filed under the name uncultured bacterium. RNAcentral's name for it is "partial 16S ribosomal RNA". It matches the Rfam family "Bacterial small subunit ribosomal RNA", at positions 29 to 523 of the family's 1533-position model. The record is from RNAcentral.
AACGAACGCUGGCGGCAGGCUUAACACAUGCAAGUCGAACGAGAUCUUCGGAUCUAGUGGCAGACGGGUGAGGAACACGUGGGAACAUCCCUUUCAGUUCGGAGUAACGUUGGGAAACUAACGCUAAUACCGGAUACGUCCUUCGGGAGAAAGAUUUAUCGCUGAAAGAUUGGCCCGCGUCUGAUUAGCUAGUUGGUGAGGUAACGGCUCACCAAGGCUACGAUCAGUAGCUGAUCUGAGAGGAUGAUCAGCCACAUUGGGACUGAGACACGGCCCAAACUCCUACGGGAGGCAGCAGUGGGGAAUAUUGGACAAUGGGCGCAAGCCUGAUCCAGCCAUGCCGCGUGAGUGAUGACGGCCUUCGGGUUGUAAAGCUCUUUUGUCCGGGAAGAUAGUGACUGUACCGGAAGAAUAAGCCCCGGCAAACUUCGUGCCAGCCGCCGCUGUAA